This 501-nucleotide ribosomal RNA is filed under the name Triticum aestivum (bread wheat). RNAcentral's name for it is "partial small subunit ribosomal RNA". The record is from RNAcentral. Lineage: Eukaryota; Viridiplantae; Streptophyta; Magnoliopsida; Poales; Poaceae.
AUGAAGACCCGCGCCGGGGUCUGCUUAGCUGCAUCGCUCGCAGGCCCUCUUCUCUCCUGCACCUUGUCCCCGAUGUCGGCAAGCCACCACCGUGCCCCGCGACCCCUCCCGCAAGCUAUCGUUGUCGCUGCUCUGCUUCAGGUCGAGCAGAAGAGGACGCUCACGCCCCUGCCUCACCAUGGUACCCGCCGGAUCCCGUCCUCUCCGCCAACCACAUGUCGCUGGAGGUCGCCUCCGCACCAAGUUCACCAUUGCCCAGCUCGAUCCCCUGCUCGUGUUGGCCUCCUGCCGCUCCCCACAACGACCUCGCCAUGCCUCCUGCCCCGUCGGCCAUCUCUGUCGUCCUCGCCCUGGACCCGGCCGAAGCUCGCCUUCCGGCUCUGGAUCUGCACCUCCCGUGUCCAUUCUCGGCACCGCGGGACCGCUGCUUCGUCAUCCACCACUGCUGUAGUGGCCACCAUGGACGCCUCUUGCCCAAGCUCUUCCUCCUGUGGGGUGUAG